GACGAACGCUGGCGGCGUGCCUAAUACAUGCAAGUCGAACGCACUUUUUCUGCUGCUUGUACUAGAAACACUUAGCGGCGAACGGGAGAGUAACACUUAAACAACCUUCCCCUUAGACUGGGAGGACUAUUAGUAACGGUAGCUAAUACUAGAUAAGCGUAUUUCUCGUUUUAGCGAGAUUUAAAAGUUAGUUAUGCUAAUACUUUAAGAUGGCUUUGCGUUGCAUUAGCUGGUGGGUGGGGUAAGGGCCCACCAAGGCGACGAUGCAUAGCCUACCUGAGAGGGGGUCCGGCAACACGGGGACUGAGACACGGCCCAGACCCCUCCGGGAGGCGGCGGAGGGGAAUCUUCCGCAAGGGGCGAAAGCCUGACGGAGAAACGCCGCGUGAGGGAAGAAGGAUUUCGGUUGGUAAAGCUCUGUUGUUAGGGAAGAAUGGAUUUGGAGUAACAAUACAUGUAAGAGACGGUACCUAACCAGAAAGCCACGGCUAACUACGUG
Molecule: ribosomal RNA, 499 nt
Filed under: uncultured bacterium
Lineage: Bacteria
Description: partial 16S ribosomal RNA
Rfam family: Bacterial small subunit ribosomal RNA
Source: RNAcentral